GAUGAAGAACGUAGCGAAAUGCGAUACGUAGUGUGAAUUGCAGAAUUCAGUGAAUCAUCGAAUCUUUGAACGCACAUUGCACCUCUCGGUAUUCCGGGAGGUAUGCCUGUUCGAGCGUCAUUUGUACCCUCAAGCUCCGCUUGGUGUUGGGCGUCUGUCCCGCUUCGCGCGCGGACUCGCCCCAAAGGUAUUGGCAGCGGUCGUGCCAGCUUCUCGCGCAGCACAUUGCGCUUCUCGAGGCACCGGUGGGCCCGCGUCCAUCAAGCUCACCCCCCCAGUUUGACCUCGGAUCAGGUAGGGAUACCCGCUGAACUUAAGCAUAUCAAAAGCGGAGGA
Molecule: unclassified non-coding RNA, 336 nt
Filed under: soil metagenome
Description: partial contains 5.8S ribosomal RNA, internal transcribed spacer 2, and large subunit ribosomal RNA
Rfam family: 5.8S ribosomal RNA (bases 1-120)
Source: RNAcentral